CCUACGGGUGGCAGCAGUCGGGAAUUUUGGGCAAUGGGCGAAAGCCUGACCCAGCAACGCCGCGUGAAGGAUGAAGUCUUUCGGGAUGUAAACUUCGUAAGAAUGGGAAGAACAAAUGACGGUACCAUUUGUAAGCCCCGGCUAACUACGUGCCAGCAGCCGCGGUAAUACGUAGGGGGCAAGCGUUGUUCGGAUUUACUGGGCGUAAAGGGCGCGUAGGCGGCAGAUCAAGUCAGCUGUGAAAUCUCCGAGCUUAACUCGGAACGGUCAGCUGAUACUGUUUUGCUAGAGUGCAGAAAGGGCAACCGGAAUUCUUGGUGUAGCGGUGAAAUGCGUAGAUAUCAAGAGGAACACCUGAGGCGAAGGCGGGUUGCUAGGCUGACACUGACGCUGAGGCGCGAAAGCUAGGGUAGCAAACGGGAUUAGAUACCCUGGUAGUC
This 440-nucleotide ribosomal RNA is filed under the name uncultured bacterium. RNAcentral describes it as "bacterial SSU rRNA". It matches the Rfam family "Bacterial small subunit ribosomal RNA", at positions 338 to 795 of the family's 1533-position model. The record is from RNAcentral.